GGUUGAUCCUGCCAGUGGUCAUAUGCUUGUCUCAAAGAUUAAGCCAUGCAUGUCUAAGCAUAGCUGGUAACAGUGAAGCCGCGAAUAGCUCAUUACAACAGCCGUUGUUUCUUGGAUCUCUCCUCUACUUGGAUAUCUCUGGUAAUUCUAGAGCUAAUACAUGCAAUAAGACCCGACGCAAGGACGGUCGCAAUUAUUAGAACAAAACCAUCCGGUCUUCGGACCGUUCUUUGGUGACUCUGAAUAACUGAGCAAAUCACACGGUCUCGCACCGGUGAUGUAUCUUUCAAGU
RNAcentral lists this ribosomal RNA (292 nucleotides) under uncultured eukaryote. Its description in RNAcentral is "partial 18S ribosomal RNA". It matches the Rfam family "Eukaryotic small subunit ribosomal RNA", at positions 6 to 304 of the family's 1831-position model. The record is from RNAcentral.